RNAcentral lists this small RNA (104 nucleotides) under Marmota monax (woodchuck). The record is from RNAcentral. Lineage: Eukaryota; Metazoa; Chordata; Mammalia; Rodentia; Sciuridae.
GUCAGGCAUGGUGGCGCAUGCCUAUAAUCCCAGUGACCUGGGAGGCUGAGACAGGCUUGUAAGUACAAGGCCACCCUUAGCAAUUUAGUGGGGUCCUGUCUCGA